This 378-nucleotide unclassified non-coding RNA is filed under the name plant metagenome. RNAcentral's name for it is "partial contains 5.8S ribosomal RNA, internal transcribed spacer 2, and large subunit ribosomal RNA". The stretch from base 1 to 105 matches the Rfam family "5.8S ribosomal RNA", at positions 50 to 154 of the family's 154-position model. The record is from RNAcentral.
GAAAUGCGAUAAGUAAUGUGAAUUGCAGAAUUCAGUGAAUCAUCGAAUCUUUGAACGCACCUUGCGCUCCUUGGUAUUCCUUGGAGCAUGCCUGUUUGAGUAUCAUGAAAUCUUCAAAGUAAAUCUUUUGUUAACUCACUUGGUUUCUACUUUGGUAUUGGAGGUCUUUGCAGCUUCACACCUGCUCCUCUUUGUUCAUUAGCUGGAUCUCAGUGUUAUGCUUGGUUCCACUCGGCGUGAUAAGUUAUCUAUCGCUGAGGACACUGUAAAAGGUGGCCAAGGUAAAUGCAGAUGAACCGCUUCUAAUAGUCCAUUGACUUGGACAAUACUUCUAUGAUCUGAUCUCAAAUCAGGUAGGACUACCCGCUGAACUUAAGC